RNAcentral lists this ribosomal RNA (665 nucleotides) under uncultured bacterium. RNAcentral describes it as "bacterial SSU rRNA". It matches the Rfam family "Bacterial small subunit ribosomal RNA", at positions 143 to 807 of the family's 1533-position model. The record is from RNAcentral.
AUAGCCUUUCGAAAGAAAGAUUAAUAUCCGAUAGCAUAUAUUUCCCGCAUGGGUUUUAUAUUAAAGAAAUUCGGUAUGAGAUGGGGAUGCGUUCCAUUAGUUUGUUGGGGGGGUAACGGCCCACCAAGACUACGAUGGAUAGGGGUUCUGAGAGGAAGGUCCCCCACAUUGGAACUGAGACACGGUCCAAACUCCUACGGGAGGCAGCAGUGAGGAAUAUUGGUCAAUGGACGCGAGUCUGAACCAGCCAAGUAGCGUGAAGGAUGACUGCCCUAUGGGUUGUAAACUUCUUUUAUAUGGGAAUAAAGUUGUCCACGUGUGGAUUUUUGUAUGUACCAUAUGAAUAAGGAUCGGCUAACUCCGUGCCAGCAGCCGCGGUAAUACGGAGGAUCCGAGCGUUAUCCGGAUUUAUUGGGUUUAAAGGGAGCGUAGGCGGAUUGUUAAGUCAGUUGUGAAAGUUUGCGGCUCAACCGUAAAAUUGCAGUUGAUACUGGCAGUCUUGAGUGCAGUAGAGGUGGGCGGAAUUCGUGGUGUAGCGGUGAAAUGCUUAGAUAUCACGAAGAACUCCGAUUGCGAAGGCAGCUCACUGGAGUGUAACUGACGCUGAUGCUCGAAAGUGUGGGUAUCAAACAGGAUUAGAUACCCUGGUAGUCCACACAGUAAAC